UAACGAGCGCAACCCCUACCUUUAGUUGCCAUCAGGUAAUGCUGGGGACUCUAAAGGAACUGCCUACGCAAGUAGUGAGGAAGGCGGGGAUGACGUCAAAUCAGCACGGCCCUUACGUCCAGGGCUACACACGUGCUACAAUGGCCGAUACAGAGGGCAGCUACCUGGUGACAGGAUGCAAAUCUCCAAAGUCGGUCUCAGUUCGGAUCGGAGUCUGCAACCCGACUCCGUGAAGUUGGAUUCGCUAGUAAUCGCGCAUCAGCCAUGGCGCGGUGAAUACGUUCCCGGCCUU
Molecule: ribosomal RNA, 292 nt
Filed under: uncultured Sphingobacteriales bacterium
Lineage: Bacteria; Pseudomonadati; Bacteroidota; Sphingobacteriia; Sphingobacteriales
Description: partial 16S ribosomal RNA
Rfam family: Bacterial small subunit ribosomal RNA
Source: RNAcentral